GUGUGGUCUCGAGGCGGUACAGCUGAUUUGAUUGCAGGUGAUUCUUCCCUCUCACCUGGCCUCCUCAUAUUAUUUCUGUAGGUCGCAUGUGUGUUUCGAAUCCAUAAAUACUGCAGUUUCUGUAGGUCGUAUGUAUGUUCAUACGAGCUGCCGUUCUUCCAUAUGUUCUGCAGAUGUAGUAUGUGUUUUAGGUCCAUGUAUAGUACUGUAGGAUCAUAUGUGCUGCAGAUGUAGCCUCUGUUUUUAGGUCCAUGUGUAGUACUUUUAGUCCAUAUGAACGAUGGCCAUACGAGUAGCCACAAGGUCAUCCACGAGGUUAUCAAAUGCUGCCUCGAGCGCCUUGAGAUAUUCAACCAGCAUUUCAAUAGCCUCAUCCCUUUCUCCUCUAGGGCAAGCGAAUGCAUAGUGACAUGUGUAUGGCAUGUGGCAGGGGAGGUAGCGGUAGCGACGAGUCUUCAUUGAAGAAAGAACAUCCCGAAGACGAGCUAUCGCCUCACGGGCAGCCAUGUGCAUAGCAUGCCUCUCCGUAGGCAUGGCUCUUCCCACAAACCGGAAGCGGCGUAACUUAACACGCCCUCCCUUGAAUUGCACCGCGGCCUGGUGCAUGGACAGACUGUCGUUGAUCUUGUGCUGGUAGAGUGUGAACUCCGGACGAGUUGAUGGCCCGAUCGCGAUUUUGACGAUGGAGGUGAGAAGCUUGACGAACCCCUCAGGCACGUUGGCGAACACCUGUGACUCACAGUCAUUGCCAGCCAUCUACAAAAGUAGGCAAAAAUUCUGAAUAGUCAGAUCAUAAAUUUACACUGACUGUCAGAAAAUGACUACAUUUGCAAAAUAUUAAAAUAGCACUUAUUACGCUAAUAACCGAUUAGCGAUCGCACCUAGUGGCUUCCUACAGUCAGCCUGGCUCUGGUACCAAGUUUGUCACGAUAGUUUUUUCAAUAAAAAGCUUAUUGAGAAACCGACUUUUAUAUAGACCAGUAUAGGAAAAUCCUCCUUACUGGUAAACAAAUCCUUGAUACUGAAAUCCAGUAGUACUAAAUAUUAUACAGGGUUGAGCUGAGGUAGCUCAACAAUUUAUUACAAGCACGCAAAUAUUAUACAUAAGGGCGGAUAUGACACAAGGGUGUGCUGGCAUACUACUGACUCGUAAUAAAAGUGGUGGUGGAUAUGUCACAGUGAAGCGGAUGACAUGACUCCUAAUCCUGCAACUCAUCGAGCGUCGAGGUGAGGCUCGAUGAUUUUAUUUGGGUAGCGGAAGCGUAUGUGAUACAAGUGACCAAAUCCAGGAUCACAUGGGACUGACUAGGACUCCUCUAGGCGUCGGACUCGCUAUCGUACUCUUCAUCCAUGAGAUCGCCUUCGUCAACAUCUGGCCAAAUCAACAAGCCAGGUGAGUACUUUGAAUGUACUCGCAAGACAAUGCGGACAUAAGAUAUAACAAAUGUAACAUGAUGCACAGGAGCGGUUAGCAAUGCACACUCAAAUAUAAAAUUUGCACGACAUGUUAAAUAAAUAGGAAGCCAGGCGGUAGUUCUCCCGAAAUCCCAACAAAAUAACUAAGAACCAAUCGGGUGUCUGAAGCGACGCCUCGAAAGGUAAAAAUAAAUUAACAUGCCGCAGUCGGGCGUCUGAGCGACACCACAUAAAGGGCUUAUAUUGAAAUGUAAAUGACAGUGCGUGCCACAGUUGGACGUCUACGUGACAUCUCGGAAAGGGCUUAUAAUGAAAAUAAAUAACAGUGAUACCACAGUCAGACGUCUACGCGACAUCUCGGAAAGGGCUUAUAAUGAAAAUAAAUAACAGUGAUGCCACAGUCAGACCUCUACACGACAUCUCGGAAAGGGCUUAUAAUGAAAAUAAAUAACAGUGAUGCCACAGUCAGACGUCUGAGCGACAUCACAGAAAGGGCUUAUAUUUCAUCAUUCAUAUUCAAUAGAUUCAUGAAGAUAAUUCAUUCAAAGGAAAUACUCAGUACAUAAUAAUAAAAGGGUUAGUCCAUCCACAGGAGAAUUAUUUAGCCGGACUUAACACUCAUGUUUGUUCACCAGAGAUUUGUCACUUGAGGCUGACACUGAGACUGACAAAGAUAAGUUGAACACAGUCCUUGACCAUAGACAAGGUUACUCGAAUGAUUUUGACUCUGCAAAGUUUGCACUAUUUAACCACAGCCAACAGAUUUCAGUAGUCAUGAAGGACUAGUUCCGUUUAUGGUAUUUCGGUAGAAACACAUCUAACCAUUACACACCCAUUCCACCUCAUGAUGCCAGGAAUCACCCUAGGCAACAUUCAAGAAAAACUUUGAGACAGGGAGGCCACAACCUCGAAUAGCAUGGGAUCAAAUUUAUAUUCGCGCGCUCUAAGGGGUGCCCCCCUCUCGGUCCCAACCGGAAACACCCAUGCCCCCUGACCGGAUGACUGGCUUUUAAUCCAGGGCCAUGGAACCCUCAUCACGGCCUCUCUAUUUGGUGUGUACGAGCCAAGAGGUUUGCAACUUACUAAACCAUAUUCUUUGCAGAAAACAUGUGGUAGCACAAAAAGAAAUGGAUGGUAACAUGACUUAUUCCACGUUGACACUGGAGUUAAAUGGUUUGGCAUAAGACUGGCAUGCUUCAACACUGCCAUCUUACCACCUCUCAUGUCACCACCUGAUCACGUAAACUCACAUCAAAUAACAUAUGGAGUUUUGAGGCUAACUUGCAUUAGCUUUGCAUGCAAUAUAUGUGACACUCCAAAAUUUUUAUUUGGUUUUUAUCAAAAACUUUGUGGUUUUGAGGAGAGACUUUUUUUUAUUUUUCUUUUUCAGAAAAACCUUCCUCUUAAAAACCUCCUUUUGCCUUGGCAGGGAUUUUAUUUCUUUCAAACUUUGGUGGUUGAUCUUUUGCAAACUUCUUCUCUGUUAGUUCCCUCUAAAAAUUUAAAUUUUUUUUGGGAGCUUUUAAUUUGUUUUAUUUAUUUUUUAAGUGAAGCUCUAUGAAAAUUUGGGUUUUUCUUAUCUUUGAAGCCACCCUUGGCUUUGUAUUUUUGCCCAUGAGAUAAAACCCCUCCAAAACCUCCCCUCCCCCUUGUGAUCAACCUAAAUUCUCUGUCCCAACUAAUCCAAACUGGUUUUGUAUUCUAUUCUAAUUAUUUUCCCCCCCAAUUCAAUUCUGAAAAUUAUUUGGAGCCUGAGGGAUUUUCAAAGCAAGUACACUUUUUCAUUUGAGUUUUGAACUCAAACCAAUUCUCCUGGAUUGUCCUUUGAACCCACAACCCAGAACCAUCUUGAUCCACUCCUCCUCUUUUCAAAAUUUUCAAAAUACAGUCUCUGCAAGUUUGGACCAGAUUUGCCAAAUUUGGUGAAAUUCAUAUCUACACUCCUCCAAAAAUUCCACCAAAAUUCAGACAGCCUAUUUGAGCAAUGAGAAGCCACUCCACCAAAAAUCAGCUCAAGGAAAAAUCCCUACAUGCCUGGAUCAUUCUGUCGAACACCUUGCAUGCACUGUUUUCCUUGCACUUUCAGAAAUUCAGUUUUCAGUUUCGACAGUUUCAGUCACGCGGCCACAGUGCACUUGGCACGUUUCUCGCGGCCUCGCUUGCUUGUCCGAAGCUUCACACGCGCACUUGGCGCGACCCUGGCAUCGGUGGCGCCCUGGCCCGCCUGCGCCGGCGUGUCUUGCGGCGGCCGGCUCCCCGUAACGGCCGACAGGGAGGAGAACGGCGGCGCAACGCCGUUCGGCACCGCCCAAAUCCUCUGGUGGCUCCGCGUGUGUCACGACCGGUUUUCCGGGUAAUAAAUUUCCAGAAAAGACCGUCGUGCUCAUCAGCCCCAGGAUUACUGUUAGCUGAUGAGGCUCCAACUUGAUACAGAAAUUCCAAGCAAAAUACAAAAUAUGUAGUACAAGACCAUUCUGGCCAGUGAGUACAACAAAUGGUUUCUAGUGGUUAAUGGCGGAAGCGGGUUGUGAAACAUCAGGGUCUAUGGGACUCCAUUUCCCACGGGAACAGCUGACCAGGUUAAUUCCUAUCUUCGCGAGGCUGCUAUCUCCAUUGAGUGCGUUCCGGGGCUGGCAUCGCGUCGCUCCUCUCCGUGCAAGAAAAUCUGGCCAAGACAAUAGCCAGGGACAAGCCAGUGAGUACUUUGAAUGUACUCGCAAACAUUAUGAACACAGGUAUAAUAUAACCAUGAUGUGCUAAAAAUAUUAUAAGCUCAUGACGUCAGUCACAAUGAAACUCAGAUGCGUGCAAGCAAGUUAUUUAUAAAAAUGCAAUAACAUGGUAGUAUAAAAAUUUAUGAAACAAAUAGCAAGCAAUGCCACAGUCGGGCGUCUUAGCGACUCCACAUAAAGGGCUUUAAAAGAAAUGCCACAGUCGGGCGUCUGAGCGACACCACAUAAAGGGCUUUAAAAGAAAUGUCACAGUCGGGCGUCUGAGCGACACCACAUAAAGGGCUUUAAAAGAAAUGCCACAGUCGGGCGUCUGAGCGACACCACAUAAAGGGCUUUAAAAGAAAUGCCACAGUCGGGCGUCUUAGCGACACCACAUAAAGGGCUUUAAAAGGAAUAAUCAUAAUGAAUAUCCCAGAGGUAGAACCAUCCCAGAGAUACUCAGUAAUAACAAUAAUAUCACGGGUUAGUCAACAAUAAUAAUAAUCAUAGAUAUCACAAGUCACGAGUAGUAAUUCCAUUUCUGGUUAACCGUUUCACCUCCGAAGACCGACACUAAGACCGAUACCUGACCCAUCCCAGACUGUAAUCCUUAACCAUGGACACGGCUAUUCGAAUAGGUUUAAAUAUCUCUGCAGAGAGUGUACUCUUUACCCACGAGUAACGGAUUCCUUUAGUCCAUCGGACUAAUUCCGUCUACGGUCUUUUAAUUGAAACACACCUGACUUGCACACACCAGCUUUCACUCGUGUCUGGAAUCACCCAUGACACCUGUUAAGCAAAGCUCUAAGUGGGGAGGCUACAACCUCGCGUAGCAUGAGAUCAAAUUUCUAUCGCGCGCUCUAAGGGGUGCCCCCCUCUCGGUCCCAACCGGAUACACCCAUGCCCCCGGACCAGGUGGCAUGCCUACCGGCUACAACCGGUAUCUUCCACCAUGGCCUCUCUGUACGGUGUGUGCCAAGACAAGGGUUAACAACUUACUGAACCAUACCCCACCUACGGUAGGGACCAGUGGCAGUACGAAAACAAGUAUGGGGGUUACCGGAACAAGACUCGAUCUAUGGCCGACUCAGGAGGCUUAUGAGUUCCCUGCAUGACAUGUAUAACAAAUAUAUUUCAACCGAAGAAAUCACCACUCAAUGUACCUUACCAUGCCAUACCGGACAUAACCGUCCCGACGGGGACCGGCGACAAGCUCACGCCUACCCAAGGCCAAGGCUUUCCCGGAUUCCUUUCCGGCAUGCAUGCAAGGCACAUGAGGAGGAUUACCAUCACAAUAAUAUUCAUUUCCAACAGCAAGUAAAUCACUGAUAUGCUCCCAUGCAAAUGAUCAUGUCACAUGAAAUAACAAGUCCUCCGAAGCAAGGUGGUGUUAUAAACGUGUCAAAUAACACACCAAAAACAUUAUGCCAGGGUUCAGAAUGCUUGCCUUCAUGGUGUGGAGAGGUGGGGGUGCUCUCCAAAAUUUUUGAAAGCUUCUUUCUCUCCCAAAAAUCCUAUUUUCAAUAAUAUGCAAAUAACACCUAUUUCAAAAACAGUACAAAAAAGUUGUUUGGAAAAUAUUCAAAUAAAUCUUAAAAUAAACUAGACAAUAUUUGAGAGAUGUAGGAAAAAGAAUUAAUUCAUUUGGAGUUAUAUUUAAAAAGUUAUAGCCAGUCAAAGUUCUGGUCAAAUCUGUUAUUUAAAUUAAAACAGAAAAGAAAACGUUUCGGAGGGGAAUACGCUUUCAGAGCGGGGAAAACGUACUAGGUGGAUUACGUCUUCACUUAAUCCCACGUGGACAGGCACGGGGUCGCUGACAGUGGGUCCAGGGGGCCCACUAGUCAGGUUUGACUAGUCUCUUUCCCUCUCCUUCCUCUGUCCCGAGCGGAGGCGGAGCUCCGGCGAUUGUUGCCGGCGACUGGCGGCUGCUCGCGGGGCCCUGAGGGCGGGGAUGGAUCCGCCACUCCAGUGCGGUCCUCCCGGUGGUCGCAGGGUAGCUGGAGGUGGAGGGAGCUGCCGGCGGCGAGCUCCGCGGCGGAGGAAAGCUUCGGUGGCGAAGUGACAUUGUGGCGGCGAUGGUUCACGAUCAAAAUCAAGUAGUGGGAAAGGUUCAUGGGAGGAUGAGGAAGUUCCUGGCAAAGAGAAGGGAGAGGGGGAGGUACUGGAGGUUCCGGAUUGGCCGGGGCGGUGGCGGCGGCCGGAGUUGCCGGAGAUGAGGAAGGAGGCCUCCCCGGGUCGAAUGCGAGGCAGGGGAGCGCCAUGGGGGUAGCAUAAGGUCGCCUGCGUGCUUGGGNNNNNNNNNNNNNNNNNNNNNNNNNNNNNNNNNNNNNNNNNNNNNNNNNNNNNNNNNNNNNNNNNNNNNNNNNNNNNNNNNNNNNNNNNNNNNNNNNNNNNNNNNNNNNNNNNNNNNNNNNNNNNNNNNNNNNNNNNNNNNNNNNNNNNNNNNNNNNNNNNNNNNNNNNNNNNNNNNNNNNNNNNNNNNNNNNNNNNNNNNNNNNNNNNNNNNNNNNNNNNNNNNNNCAUUUGUAGCGCGCCAAGGUCGGUUCCGCGGCGGUGGGGAUAAGCUCUCCGGCGAACCGUCUCUCUGUAGCUAGGGCGACGUGGCGGCGACGAACGCUAGCGGACACCCGUGUGGAUGAGCUCGGGCUAUGCCGGGGCCAGGUGGCGAGCCGGGGUGGCUUGGGCGGCGCUGAAUGGAGCAGGGGCUGUCGGCAGCGGCGGUGGCUAGCUCUUGGCCUGCCGGGCGUGGCGGGGGCUGCUUGGCGCGUUGCAGUGAGAAGGGUAGCGCGUGGCGAGGUGCUGCAGAGCGAGCCAAAACCGUGGGGGCCAGCGUGUCGGCUCGUGUGCGCGGCUGCAAUAUGCGCGCUCUGGGCGUGCCCAGAGCACGCCGACCAUCUGUUCGGCGAAAUGCCCUGGCCUGCUAGAUGGCUUGGUUGGAGCUGAGGAUUAGCAGUUCUAGGCUAUGGCUUGCAAGGGGAUCAGUAGACAAGCUGGUUUGGUCAGGAGAUCAGGUUCACAGUGCAAACCAAAAAUUCAUGCCAAAACAGAUCAUGCCCAUAUGGUGUUUGACAAAAUGCUAAGGGCACUUAGGCAUUUCUUGGAGUGGCCAAAAUCUCCAAAUCAGUGUCUCUGUGGAUGAAAGAGAGGGUGGUGAUGUUAGUUGGUGAAAUGCACAAACUUGUUAGUGCAAGUCUAGCAGAAUUUCAAUUCUGGACAGGAAAUAAAUGUCAUUAUUUCAUGAACCAAAAUUAAUCCAAUGGGUGCAUGCUCCUAGACUUAAGGGUUCGGCAAGGGGGACUACCAGUAGAAAAAGAAAUCAUGGAUAUAGGAGCAAUUAAAAUGGUGGUUGCUGUACAAAUCAUCAAGUUGGUCCAGAAUGGAAAUGAGGUUGAUUCACUCAAUAUUUUCAAAGAACAACCCUGGAUUUUUGCACAAAAUGGAAUAAUAUGCUCCUACUGACCUCCCCUAAUUUUGGUAGAAGUUUUAAAGAAAUAUAUAAAAGGGUUGUAGUGCAAAAUGCACUCUGGACCAGAGAAGAAAAACUGAGUGUAGGGCUCAAAAUAUUUCAUGAAUGAGAUAUAUUUUUGCAUAAAAGUGAUUUAAAAACAUCACAUGACAUCUCCAAAUUUUUGUGGAAAUUUUAAGUGAAUCUAUCAAAUGGUUGUAGUUCAAAUAUGGCCAUAUAACCUUGAAAAACUAUUUUCAAGAAGGUAAAGAUCAAGCAAUUAACUUAGUUAAUUAGUUAUACUGAUAAAAGGAAAUUUUUUCUUGAGAGGUUAAACAAGUCCAAAAACAUAUUUGAAAAGUUUUCUCUUUGGGAAAAACUCAUCAUAACAGGGAAGGAAAUGAUUUAAAAAUCAAAAUGGAGCUCAGAAAUCCAGAGUUUUAAUUCCUAGCAAAAUUUUAAUUUAAUAAAACAAGGCCAAAUUUUUGGGGUGUCACAAUACUAUCCCCCUUAAGAAAAAUCUCGUCCUCGAGAUUGUCUAAGAGCCGUUGUGAAUAACAAAAGUUCCAUAUGCAUUCGAGCGGUUGUGAGACUGCUGCCGUGGUGCUGUGUGAAAUUAAUUAAUCCGCGUCGUGAAGUGGCAGGUGUAGCAAUUCAGGAAAAGAAGUCUCACUCUAGGAUUCUGCGAGGGAAAAACAGUUAAUUUUUAGGAGCAUAAUCCACAACAAAAACUACACACAUUAGUAGAAGCCAAAUAAUUGACUCGUCGUACAAACUCAGGGUAUCACGCAUAAGUCACACACAUAAAUAAAUGUUGCAAGGAACAAAUACAAUAGCGACGUCAAAAAUGAAAAUGGUAACUGGGUGGGGUCCUGAUAAAAUGUCUCUGGUAAAGGGAUACACUCCUCUUCUAUCGGAGGAAGUGGAUUGACCAGUCGAUGUAUGCGUCUCUCCGGGUCGGGUCUCAGUGGUCUGCCGAUGGCAAUCUGAGGAUUUAAAUCUGCGAGGCUCUGGAGAUAAUCCAUCACUCGCUGGUUCAAAUGCUCUUGAGCAAUGAUGUACUGGAUAAGGUUGGCCAGAACUGGGUCUCUCUCAAUACGUCCACCGGGAAAAGAUGUUACUUCUCCGGGUGCUGCACGACUCGGAAAGUAAUAAUAUCCUCGUUCGCGGGCAUAGGGUACUGCGGAUCGAAGACGAGCAAUUGCUUCUUUCGCAGCAGCUUCUAUGGCCGGGUGUGGGGUUGGCAUAGAUUUCCCCACGAAGGAAACUUCUAUUGGAUCUUGGUUGGGGUCUACAGGAGGAAUGUGUACUGCUGCCCAAUAUUCCGAGGUGGAUGGGGUGAUCCUCGAUUUGAACAGCUCGUACUGAGGUGGCUGGGUAGAACCCAUAGUACUGCGGGUAAAAUCCCACAAUAUUUUGACAAAGCUACCUGGGGUUGCAUCUGGGGUUCUCAGAUGAAUGCUGGGGCUCGGCAUGACAGGAAAAAGCGUGAGUGUUGUGCACAAAGUGAGGGUUGUUGGGUAAGGUCACAAGGUGGUCUUUAUAUAGCAAUGGAGCCGGGUCGUUUUACCGUGGUGAAAGGUAAUAAAUUUGCCAGCUUAGCUCCAAAGGUCAGGUCAGUGUCGGAGAUACACAUAUCUCAUAAAGAGACGUGUUACUGUGGUUGUCGUCGGGUUGGUUUUGGUAGUCGUGCCUGGAAAAUAUGCAGCUAUGCGCUGACCAAAAAUGCAAGGCUACUAUUAAAGCAGAGGCACAAAGACAGGUUGCGUUAAAAUACGCGGUCGCAUGAUUACAAAGCGAGGAUACAUUGAAACUUGGUGCUACUCAUACGGCUUAGUCUACCUCGUUCAUGUCUAAACGAGCGUGCCUGGUGGAUGUCGAGGCUUCUCCACGUGUCUCACUGCCGGGAUUAGACGGAGAUGGCGGGGGAACUGCAGGGUUGGGGUAGUGAUGAUGACCAUCGCGGGGAUUGUUGGCCACAACUCCGUUGGAGUGCGCUCCCAAAAUGCGAUGAAGCACCUCUGGGGUUAUCGCAGCACCUUGGCCGAUGGCUGGGGCAGAUCUUGGGGUCUCGAUCGGUUGUCCAAACAGCACGACUGGGUUGUCGGCGUUGGGCUCGUUUUCUCCUCUCGCCGGGGCUCGACGAACGAGCUCUCCACGAGCUGCGAUUAGAUCAAUGGUGAUUUGGUCGAACAGUACCUCUAGUGCACUUACAUAGCGCACUAGGUGCAACAAUGCGGGGUCCGUCUCGUGAUCUCCGUUGGCAACUUGGGGUUGUCUACCAUACCUUUCACGUCUGGGGUAGUAGUGGAACGAGCGACAGUUAACUCUGGGCGACAAGUGCCUGAGAUGAACUAUAGCCUCUCGAGCGGCUAGCUGGAUGGCUUGUGGCUCAAAGGAAGUUGUCCUUCCAGUGAACCUGUAGGGGCGCUCGGGUGCUAGACCCCUACCGUAGAUGUGCACAGUGGCCCAGAAUUGACGGUCUUCACCGCUCAUGGGUCCUUGAUACACAACAUAUUCUGGUGGCUCCUCUAACGCGUAGGCACGACGGGUGAGGUUUGCGAGGAUGGUCACAAAACCUCCAAGGUUGGUUGCUAUGGUUUCGUUGUGCACUAUAGGUCCAGGCAUUGUGGCUCGGUUUGGGGUAGCGGCUGUGCUGUGCUGGGUUGAGGCUAGCGUGCCCUUUUUAUAAGAAAAAGGGGACGGAGUCUUCCUUCGCACGCUUGCGAGAAAGGACUAUUUAGGGGCCAGUCACUGGCGCAUGAGUGACAGGUUAGGUUGAUAGGUUGGGCACCGACUGCCAAAAAGGUGUUGGGUCACUGUGUGGCUAUCUUGCACGAGAAGCUUGGCUGGGGUUUGGCUAAGGUCUAGUGGGUUGGUUUGCCUAAGUUUAUUGACCUGGCUAAGAUAGGAUUAGCCAAUGGUCAGCCUGGCGCUGAUACCAAGUCUGUCACGACCGGUUUUCCGGGUAAUAAAUUUCCAGAAAAGACCGUCGUGCUCAUCAGCCCCAGGAUUACUGUUAGUUGAUGAGGCUCCAACUUGAUACAGAAAUUCCAAGCAAAAUACAAAAUAUGUAGUACAAGACCAUUCUGGCCAGUGAGUACAACAAAUGGUUUCUAGUGGUUAAUGGCGGAAGCGGGUUGUGAAACAUCAGUGUCUAUGGGACUCCAUUUCCCACGGGAACAGCUGACCAGGUUAAUUCCUAUCUUCGCGAGGCUGCUAUCUCCAUUGAGUGCGUUCCGGGGCUGGCAUCGCGUCGCUCCUCUCCGUGCAAGAAAAUCUGGCCAAGACAAUAGCCAGGGACAAGCCAGUGAGUACUUUGAAUGUACUCGCAAACAUUAUGAACACAGGUAUAAUAUAACCAUGAUGUGCUAAAAAUAUUAUAAGCUCAUGACGUCAGUCACAAUGAAACUCAGAUGCGUGCAAGCAAGUUAUUUAUAAAAAUGCAAUAACAUGGUAGUAUAAAAAUUUAUGAAACAAAUAGCAAGCAAUGCCACAGUCGGGCGUCUUAGCGACUCCACAUAAAGGGCUUUAAAAGAAAUGCCACAGUCGGGCGUCUGAGCGACACCACAUAAAGGGCUUUAAAAGAAAUGCCACAGUCGGGCGUCUGAGCGACACCACAUAAAGGGCUUUAAAAGAAAUGCCACAGUCGGGCGUCUGAGCGACACCACAUAAAGGGCUUUAAAAGAAAUAAUCAUAAUGAAUAUCCCGGAGGUAGAACCAUCCCAGAGAUACUCGGUAAUAACAAUAAUAUCACGGGUUAGUCAACAAUAAUAAUAAUCAUAGAUAUCACAAGUCACGAGUAGUAAUUCCAUUUCUGGUUAACUGUUUCACCUCCGAAGACCGACACUAAGACCGAUACCUGACCCAUCCCAGACUGUAAUCCUUAACCAUGGACACGGCUAUUCGAAUAGGUUUAAAUAUCUCUGCAGAGAGUGUACUCUUUACCCACGAGUAACGGAUUCCUUUAGUCCAUCGGACUAAUUCCGUCUACGGUCUUUUAAUUGAAACACACCUGACUUGCACACACCAGCUUUCACUCGUGUCUGGAAUCACCCGUGACACCUGUUAAGCAAAGCUCUAAGUGGGGAGGCUACAACCUCGCGUAGCAUGAGAUCAAAUUUCUAUCGCGCGCUCUAAGGGGUGCCCCCCUCUCGGUCCCAACCGGAUACACCCAUGCCCCCGGACCAGGUGGCAUGCCUACCGGCUACAACUGGUAUCUUCCACCAUGGCCUCUCUGUACGGUGUGUGCCAAGACAAGGGUUAACAACUUACUGAACCAUACCCCACCUACGGUAGGGACCAGUGGCAGUACGAAAACAAGUAUGGGGGUUACCGGAACAAGACUCGAUCUAUGGCCGACUCAGGAGGCUUAUGAGUUCCCUGCAUGACAUGUAUAACAAAUAUAUUUCAACCAAAGAAAUCACCACUCAAUGUACCUUACCAUGCCAUACCGGACAUAACCGUCCCGACGGGGACCGGCGACAAGCUCACGCCUACCCAAGGCCGAGGCUUUCCCGGAUUCCUUUCCGGCAUGCAUGCAAGGCACAUGAGGAGGAUUACCAUCACAAUAAUAUUCAUUUCCAACAGCAAGGAAAUCACUGAUAUGCUCCCAUGCAAAUGAUCAUGUCACAUGAAAUAACAAGUCCUCCGAAGCAAGGUGGUGUUAUAAACGUGUCAAAUAACACACCAAAAACAUUAUGCCAGGGUUCAGAAUGCUUGCCUUCAUGGUGUGGAGAGGUGGGGGUGCUCUCCAAAAAUUUUGAAAGCUUCUUUCUCUCCCAAAAAUCCUAUUUUCAAUAAUAUGCAAAUAACACCUAUUUCAAAAACAGUACAAAAAAGUUGUUUGGAAAAUAUUCAAAUAAAUCUUAAAAUAAACUAGACAAUAUUUGAGAGAUGUAGGAAAAAGAAUUAAUUCAUUUGGAGUUAUAUUUAAAAAGUUAUAGCCAGUCAAAGUUCUGGUCAAAUCUGUUAUUUAAAUUAAAACAGAAAAGAAAACGUUUCGGAGGGGAAUACGCUUUCGGAGCGGGGAAAACGUACUAGGCGGAUUAUGUCUUCACUUAAUCCCACGUGGACCGGCACGGGGUCGCUGACAGUGGGUCCAGGGGGCCCACUAGUCAGGUUUGACUAGUCUCUUUCCCUCUCCUUCCUCUGUCCCGAGCGGAGGCGGAGCUCCGGCGAUUGUUGCCGGCGACUGGCGGCUCCUCGCGGGGCCCUGAGGGCGGGGAUGGAUCCGCCACUCCAGUGCGGUCCUCCCGGUGGUCGCAGGGUAGCUGGAGGUGGAGGGAGCUGCCGGCGGCGAGCUCCGCGGCGGAGGAAAGCUUCGGUGGCGAAGUGACAUUGUGGCGGCGAUGGUUCCCGAUCAAAAUCAAGUAGUGGGAAAGGUUCAUGGGAGGAUGAGGAAGUUCCUGGCGAAGAGAACGUAGAGGGGGAGGUACUGGAGGUGCCGGAUUGGCCGGGGCGGUGGCGGCGGCCGGAGUUGCCGGAGAUGAGGAAGGAGGCCUCCCCGGGUCGAAUGCGAGGCAGGGGAGCGCCAUGGGGGUAGCAUAAGGUCGCCUGCGUGCUUGGGGAAGCUCGGGGGGGGGUCCAUUUGUAGCGCGCCAAGGUCGGUUCCGCGGCGGUGGGGAUAAGCUCUCCGGCGAACCGUCUCUCUGUAGCUAGGGCGACGUGGCGGCGACGAACGCUAGCGGACACCCGUGUGGAUGAGCUCGGGCUGUGCCGGGGCCAGGUGGCGAGCCGGGGUGGCUUGGGCGGCGCUGAAUGGAGCAGGGGCUGUCGGCGGCGGCGGCGGCUAGCUCUUGGCCUGCCGGGCGUGGCGGGGGAUGCUUGGCGCGUUGCGGUGGGAAGGGUAGCGCGUGGCGAGGUGCUGCAGAGCGAGCCAAAACCGUGGGGGCCAGCGUGUCGGCUCGUGUGCGCGGCUGCAAUAUGCGCGCUCUGGGCGUGCCCAGAGCACGCCGACCAUCUGUUCGGCGAAAUGCCCUGGCCUGCUAGAUGGCUUGGUUGGAGCUGAGGAUUAGCAGUUCUAGGCUAUGGCUUGCAAGGGGAUCAGUAGACAAGCUGGUUUGGUCAGGAGAUCAGGUUCACAGUGCAAACCAAAAAUUCAUGCCAAAACAGAUCAUGCCCAUAUGGUCUUUGACAAAAUGCUAAGGGCACUUAGGCAUUUCUUGGAGUGGCCAAAAUCUCCAAAUCAGUGUCUCUGUGGAUGAAAGAGAGGGUGGUGAUGUUAGUUGGUGAAAUGCACAAACUUGUUAGUGCAAGUCUAGCAGAAUUUCAAUUCUGGACAGGAAAUAAAUGGCAUUAUUUCAUGAACCAAAAUUAAUCCAAUGGGUGCAUGCUCCUGGACUUAAGGGUUUGGCAAGGGGGACUACCAGUAGAAAAAGAAAUCAUGGAUAUAGGAGCAAUUAAAAUGGUGGUUGCUGUACAAAUCAUCAAGUUGGUCCAGAAUGGAAAUGAGGUUGAUUCACUCAAUAUUUUCAAAGAACAACCCUGGAUUUUUGCACAAAAUGGAAUAAUAUGCUCCUACUGACCUCCCCUAAUUUUGGUAGAAGUUUUAAAGAAAUAUAUAAAAGGGUUGUAGUGCAAAAUGCACUCUGGACCAGAGAAGAAAAACUGAGUGUAGGGCUCAAAAUAUUUCAUGAAUGAGAUAUAUUUUUGCAUAAAAGUGAUUUAAAAACAUCACAUGACAUCUCCAAAUUUUUGUGGAAAUUUUAAGUGAAUCUAUCAAAUGGUUGUAGUUCAAAUAUGGCCAUAUAACCUUGAAAAACUAUUUUCAAGAAGGUAAAGAUCAAGCAAUUAACUUAGUUAAUUAGUUAUACUGAUAAAAGGAAAGUUUUUCUUGAGAGGUUAAACAAGUCCAAAAACAUAUUUGAAAAGUUUUCUCUUUGGGAAAAACUCAUCAUAACAGGGAAGGAAAUGAUUUAAAAAUCAAAAUGGAGCUCAGAAAUCCAGAGUUUUAAUUCCUAGCAAAAUUUUAAUUUAAUAAAACAAGGCCAAAUUUUUGGGGUGUCACAGCGUGGCCUUCUCCGUGCCAGCGCAUGCAUGCGGCACCGUCGCCGUGGCGCAGCACGCACGGAGCGCGCUCUCUGCCGCCGAUGGGCCCGCGCCACCCCGUUCCGUCGAGCUCGACCCAAACACCCAAACCCCGGCCAGUUUAGCACUAAAACGGACCCAUUGAACCUCCGUGAUGACGCUCGACCCCCUAACCACCCCGCCCGAGCACUGCGCCACCGUAAUCGCUCGCCGGUGAUCCUCGUUCACGGCAACCGCCUCGGACCGCCUAUAUAAAGGGGUCCCGAGCUCACUCUCGUGCAUGCAGCACCCCCACUACUCACCAACACCCCCGCCAGGCCACUAGGGGGACCUCGAGGAGGUCUCCUCCCCCAGCUCCGGCCGCCUCGCCCCGCCUCGGCCUCCAGCCCGAUUCGUUCUGGUGAGGCCAUCUCCAGCGCUCAAACCCCGUUCGUUACCCUCUCUAGCUGCCAGGAGCAUGACCCCCUCUUCAAUUUAACCUUUGCAGCCCUCUCCGACGAGCCCCUCGACCACCCGAGCCGCCGUCCGCCGGAGCAAAGCUCGCCGUCGACGUGGUGCUCGCCGACCGACUCUACCACCAUCAACUGACGCGGAAGGGUGCCCUGAGCACGGAGGUACUCUCCGAUCUCUCUGCCUCGCCGUGGAUCGCCGCCGGCGACCACCGCGGCUCUCGGGCGCCGGCGAACUCUGCCGCCCCGUUUGAACAUUUGAACCUGACGGGUGGGACCCCACCGUCAGCCUCUCUGCUCUCUCUUUCGAAUUGUUUUCUGGAAGCGCCUUCGGGCAGAAUGUGUUUUCUCUUCGGGCUGGCGUAGUCGCUACCGAAGCGUUUUCUGUUUUUAUAAACUAGCCCCUGGAAAUCUUCUGUUUCAUUACAGAUAAGUUCCUGGACAAAAACCCUUAUAACUUUUAAUCAGAAAAGUAUUUUUGAUUGAUUCUUUUUCUGUUCUCUUUAGAAUUUUGUCUAGUUUUUUAUCAGAUUUAUUUGAAAAAUAUUUGGUUUACCUUCUGUGCUCUCCUUGGUAUUUACAUUAGCGCAUAUAUUUUCUUUAAACCGUAGAUACCGAAGGAGGUGACGGAGCCGCGAACUUCACCGAGCUAGGCUCCGACUACUCUGAACCAGGCAAGCAUGUUUGAACUUUUGAUAUGAUGAGUGUCUCGGCAUGUUUUGCAUUUAGUUAGUUUCAUGGCAUGUUGGUAAGCAUACCGAUGAACGAUAUUUUAUGUGAUAAUAAGGUGAGUAAGUUCAAUGAUCCAUACGUGGAUGAAUGUGAAUAUGAAUGGCCAUGUGUUGGCAUGAGGAUGGGUACGAUGGCAGUGUUGUAGCAUGCCAGUCUUACGCCAGACUAUGUGACUUCAGUGACAAACCAUAUCGGUCCAGUACCUAUCAUUUCCUUCCUUGUACUACCACAUGUUUUCCGCAAGGAAUAUGGUUUAGUAAGUUGCAAACCACUUUCAUGGUACACACCAAAGAGGAGAGGCCGUGAUGAUGGUUCCAUGGCCCUGGAUUAAAGCCAGUCAUCCGGUCAGGGGGCAUGGGUGUUUCCGGUUGGGACCGAGAGGGGGGCACCCCUUAGAGCGCGCGUAUAUAAAUUUGAUCCCAUGCUAUUCGAGAUUGUGAUCUCCCCGUCUCAAAAGUUUUUCUUGGACGAUGACUAGGGUGAUUCCUAGCAUCGAGAGGUAGGAUGGGUGUGUACCGGUUAGCUGUGUUUUCUUCCGAAAUACCAUAANNNNNNNNNNNNNNNNNNNNNNNNNNNNNNNNNNNNNNNNNNNNNNNNNNNNNNNNNNNNNNNNNNNNNNNNNNNNNNNNNNNNNNNNNNNNNNNNNNNNNNNNNNNNNNNNNNNNNNNNNNNNNNNNNNNNNNNNNNNNNNNNNNNNNNNNNNNNNNNNNNNNNNNNNNNNNNNNNNNNNNNNNNNNNNNNNNNNNNNNNNNNNNNNNNNNNNNNNNNNNNNNNNNNNNNNNNNNNNNNNNNNNNNNNNNNNNNNNNNNNNNNNNNNNNNNNNNNNNNNNNNNNNNNNNNNNNNNNNNNNNNNNNNNNNNNNNNNNNNNNNNNNNNNNNNNNNNNNNNNNNNNNNNNNNNNNNNNNNNNNNNNNNNNNNNNNNNNNNNNNNNNNNNNNNNNNNNNNNNNNNNNNNNNNNNNNNNNNNNNNNNNNNNNNNNNNNNNNNNNNNNNNNNNNNAAGCCCUUUCUGCGAUGUCGCUCAGACGUCCGACUGUGGCAUUUCUUUUAAAGCCCUUUCUGCGAUGGCGCUCAGACGUCCGACUGUGGCAUUUCAUUUAAAGUCCUUUCUGCGAUGUCGCUCAGACGUCCGACUGUGGCAUUUCUUUUAAAGCCCUUUCUGCGAUGUCGCUCAGACAUCCGACCGUGGCAUUUCUUUUAAAGCCCUUUAUGUGGUGUCGCUAAGAUGCCCGACUGUGGCAUCAUUCACCUUUUGAGGCGUCGCUUCAGGCACCCGAUCGGUCUUUAUUUAUGCUCUGUGGGAUUUCAGGCGGACUACCGCCGUUUCCCUUUUUACUUACCCCGUUAUGCAAAUUUUUAUUUAUUGUGCAUUAAGGAAUUAAUCAUGUUGCAUCCAUGCACGCAGUUGUUAUAUCUUACAUCCGAACUGUCUUGCGAGUACUUUCAAAGUACUCACUGGCUUGUUGAUUUGGCCAGAUGCUGACGAAGGCGAUCUCAUGGAUGAAGAGUUCGAUAGCGAGUCCGACACUUAGAGGAGUCCCAGUCAGUCUCGUGCGACCCUGGAUUUGGUCACUGUUUUAUAUCCGCUUCCGCUACCAAAUAAAUUUAUCGAGCCUCACCUCGAUGUUCGAUGAAAUGAUAUUCUUAGAGUCUUGUAUUUCCCUUCCCGCUGUGCUUUUCCACCACCAACCUAUCCAUGAGUCAGUAGUAUGUCUCCACACCACUGUGUCCUGUCCGCCAUUAUGUAUGAUUAUUGGCGUGCUUGUAAUAAUUUGGUUGAGCGACCGCAGUUCAACCCUGUAAUAUAUUUUACGCUACUGCCUUAUUGUAUCAAGAAAUUGUCUACCAGUGAGGAGGAUUUCUCUCAUACUGGACUCAAAAGACUGGUUUAUCAAUAAAUAUUUUUAUUGGAAAACCGGUCGUGACAAGCUUGGUACCAGAGCCAGGCUGACUGUAGGAAGCCACUAGGUGCGAUCGCUAAUUAGUUAUUAGCAUGACAGGGCUAUUUUAUGCUUUUGCAAUUGUAGUCAUUUUCUGUCAGUCAGCAUAAAUUUAUUAUCUGACCCUGCAGAAUUUUGCCUACUUUUGUAGAUGGCCGACGUCAGCUGCGAAUCUCAGACCUUCGCCAACGUGCCCGAUGGGUUCGUCAAACUUCUUUCUUCCAUCGUUAGGGUCGCGAUGGGGCCAUCCGUGCGCCCAGUCUUCACACUCUACCAGCACCGAGUCAACGACAGUCUGACCAUGCACCAGGCCGCGGUGCAGUUCAGGGGAGGGCGUGGUGAGUCACGCCGCUUCCGGUUCGUGGGAAGAGCUAUGCCUACGGAGGGGCAUGCUAUGCAGAUGGCAGCCCGCGAGGCGAUAGCUCGUCUCAGGGAUGUCCUUCCCGUGAUGAAGACUCGUCAUUACCGUUAUCUUCCAUGCCAUGUGCCUUACACCUGUCACUACGCAUACUCCUGCCCCAGAGGAGAACGAGACGAGGCUUUUGAGAUGCUCAUUGAGUAUCUCCGGGCCCUGGAGGCAGCCUUCGACAACCUGGUGGACGACUUCGUAGCUACCCGCAUGGACUCAGUCCAUGGCUGUGCUGCCAACAGGAGGGAGCUCCUACCCAUCGCUCCGCCACCGACUUUUGUCUCGUCAUCAGCAUCUUUUACGCCUACUCGUCGCCUGCCUUCUACCGAAGAAUUUAACCAAGUCAUUGCACCCACUCCAGCGCGCACUACACCAACCUUCGCGCCCACUCCUGUACGUGUUGCUCCGCCCCUGGCAACCGCUCCGUCCGCUCUGCACAACACUACACGUAUGGAACCCAUUAGCGAGGAGGAAGUCGAGUCCCCAACCUCGCUACGCCUCUCCCUCGGCAGGGCAAGGGAGAUCGUCAACAUCUCUGCCUGAGUACGCUUAGCUGCCGUGUAUUGUACCGCUUUGUAGGAUAUGUAAUGAGCAGUCCUUCUCCGUGCGCAAUUCGAUUUGUUUUUCUUAAGUAAGCUUGGGUAUUUAAUAAUAUCUGCCAGCUUUAUGCAUUUAUGGUUUUAUUUUUGCGACUCUUUCCGCUUUUCUUAAGAGUUUUACAAAAAAAAUUCCCAGAGUGAAAAAUGUCUCGUCCUUGGACACGUUCCAUGCCAACUCCACCAGAGGAAAUUCAUGAUACUCAACCCAACAAUGAGUUCACUCAGGGACAGACAAGCCAACAAGGUAGUGAAUCGGCACUUUCACAAAUGUGCCGCCUUUAUGAACAGAGUCAGCAACAACAUCGCGAGAUGAUGAACCAAGUCAUCAACAUGGGGAAUCAUCAUGGACAGUAUCAGCAACAUUCCAAGUUAUCUGAGCUACAGAAGACACGUCCUCAAACAUUUUCUCACACUGACAAGCCUCUUGAAGCCGAGGACUGGCUUCGAGAUAUGGAGAGGAAAUUAAUUAUUGCAAAGUGUUCAGAUCUCGAGAAAGUACUAUAUGCUCCACACUAUCUCACAGGAGCAGCCGCAUCGUGGUGGGAGAAUUUUCUGCACAUGCAUCCCAACGAAAAUGACAUAACCUGGGAUGAUUUCAAGGAAGGUUUCCGUGGUGCACAUAUUCCUAAGAGUAUUAUGAAAAUCAAGAAGAGAGAAUUUGAUGACCUCAAACAAAGGAACAUGACAGUGUCAGAUUACAACAGUCAAUUUACCCUAUUAUCCCGCUACGCCAAUGAGGAGCGUAUGACUGAAAUCAAGAAGAUGGAGAAAUUCCUUGACGGUCUGGCGCCCGCGCUUAAAUGCCAACUGGUCGUGCACACUUUUCCUGAUUUUAAAACGCUGGUGGACAAGGCCAUUACUCUGGAAAAUGAGAGACGCAGUCUGGAAGAUAUCCGCAAGCGAAAAAGGGACCAGAUUAAUCACACUCGCAAUCACCGAAGCAAGAUAGAUUUUAAAAAGGGUGGGACACCCAAAUUCUCAUCCAAUGUCUCACGCCCAAUCAAGAAUUUUCAUGCAAGGGACAAGGAAUUCACCUAUCGCCCCGGCGUUACUUGUUACGCUUGUGGAGAAGAAGGGCAUUAUGCCAAACAGUGCCCCAAGCCAAGGAACUCAACCCCAAAGCCGAACAACGGCGGCAAUAAUUCAGCACCCAAACGAAACAAUUUCAAUCCCAACAAUAACCACAGGAAGGGUCAUCUGAACCACGUAACCAAAGAGGAGGCACAAAAUGCUCCGGAUAUCGUACUCGGUACGUUUCCUGUCAACACAAUACCUGCAAUGGUUUUGUUUGAUUCUGGAGCUUCUCACUCUUUCAUCUCGAAAAGUCUUGCUUUGCAAAAUAAUUUUUCGAUGCUUCCUUUGGAGAGAUCCAUAAUAAUCAAGUCCCCCGGGAUUCAGCAAGUUUCUCAGAAUUACUGUCAGAAUGUGGUCAUUGAGUUUGAAGGAUUGGAGUUUUACGCAAAUCUUAUUGUAUUGGAAAAUAAAGGACUGGAUGUCAUCCUAGGGAUGGAUUGGCUAACCACCAAUAAAGGUUUUAUCGACUGUUUCAACAGGACCGUGAUUCUCACACACCACCAAGGGAAGAAAAUAAGAGUAUCAGCCAAGGAAGGAAAAAGACCCCGGCAACCGAGAUUAAAUAAGGUGGACGUUUCUGAGCUAAAUAAGGUUCCAGUAGUGCGUGAAUUUCCAGAUGUAUUCCCUGAAGAGCUGCCAGGCAUGCCACCAGAUCGAGAAAUAGAAUUCUGCAUUGAGCUAGCACCAGGAACCACCCCCAUAUACAAGAAGCCAUACAGAAUGGCACCAUCCGAGUUGAUCGAAUUGAAGAAGCAAAUAAAGGAAUUACUGGAUAAAGGAUACAUUCGGGCCAGCUCCUCACCUUGGGGAUCACCAAUUUUAUUUGCCAAGAAGAAGGAUGGAACGCUGAGAUUGUGUAUCGACUAUCGAGCACUUAACAUGGUCACAGUCAAAAACAAAUACCCGAUGCCAAGGAUAAACGAUUUGUUUGAUCAACUUGCUCAGGCCAAGGUAUUCUCAAAAAUUGACUUAAGGUCGGGAUACCAUCAAUUGAAGGUACGAACGGAAGAUAUCCCCAAAACAGCCUUCACCUCCAGAUAUGGACUGUACGAGUUCACAGUAAUGCCAUUUGGAUUAACUAACGCCCCGGCAUAUUUUGUUCACCUCAUGAACAAAGUAUUUAUGAAGUUUAUGGACAAAUUCGUCGUAGUAUUCAUCGACGAUAUUCUGGUAUACUCCAAAACACCAGAAGAGCACGCAGAACAUCUCAGGAUUGUACUAGGAGAGCUAAGGAAACACCAAUUGUAUGCCAAGUUCAGCAAGUGCGAAUUUUGGCUAAGACAAGUAGGUUUCCUAGGCCACGUACUGACUCAAGACGGUAUAGCAGUGGACCCGGAGAAAGUCAAGGCCGUACUUGACUGGAAGUCACCAGCCAGCGUAACAGACAUACGAAGUUUCUUGGGAAUGGCAGGAUAUUACCGCAGAUUUAUUGAAGGAUUUUCCACCAUAUCCAAGCCUAUGACACAGUUACUCAAGAAGGAUAAGAAGUUUGAGUGGACAGAAGCCUGCGAGAAAAGUUUCCAAGAGCUAAAGCGGAAAUUAACAACAGCACCGGUAUUAAUUGUACCCGAUAUACACAAGAAUUUUGAAGUAUUUUGUGACGCAUCCAGAAAGGGUCUCGGAUGCGUGUUGAUGCAAGAAGGCAAGGUUGUCGCCUACGCUUCAAGGCAACUUCGCAAACACGAGGAAAAUUAUCCCACUCAUGAUUUAGAAAUGGCAGCAGUUAUUCAUGCACUCAAGGAAUGGAGGCAUUUUCUACUUGGAAAUCGAUGUGAGAUAUAUACGGAUCACAAAAGCCUCAAAUACAUUUUUACGCAGCCAGAACUAAAUUUACGGCAACGCCGCUGGUUAGAAUUGGUAAAGGAUUACGAUGUUGGUAUCCAUUACCAUCCAGGGAAAGCAAACGUAGUGGCCGAUGCCCUGAGUCGGAACCCCAGCUCCGACGGGAACUAUCUGCACAGCUUGAGGCCCGAAUUCCAUCAAGAAUUUGUCAAGCUCAACUUGAUAAUGGUAGCAGAAGGCACCAUAUCAAACUUGGAAAUACAACCACACCUUGUGGAGAAAAUUAAAGAGGCUCAGUCCGGUCACCCCAGCAUUGAAGGAAUUAAAAGGAAGUUGAGUAUGGGCAAGGCCUCGGAAUUCGUCAUAGACAGUGAAGGAAUAUUAUGGUACGGAGAAAGGCUAUGCGUGCCAAACAUACAAGACCUUAAACAGCAAGUUUUAACUGAAGCACACACCACUCCAUAUUCGAUCCACCCUGGAGGAACCAAAAUGUAUAAGGAUAUUCAGGAAAGAUUUUGGUGGCACGGUAUGAAGAGGGACAUAGCCGCUUUCAUUGCAUGUUGCGACUCAUGUCAACGCAUAAAAGCUGAACAUCAGAGACCAGCCGGACUACUGCAACCUAACAAAAUACCUGAGUGGAAAUGGGAUGAAAUAGGGAUGGAUUUUAUUGUCGGAUUACCUCGGUCACGACACGGGAAUGAUGCCAUAUGGGUCAUCACUGACAGGUUGACCAGAGUAGCACACUUUAUUCCAGUGAAGACAACCUACACCACUCAGAGGCUUGCCAGGAUUUAUCUUUCCCGCAUAGUCUGUCUGCACGGUGUCCCGAAGACUAUAAUUUCCGACAGAGGCACUCAGUUCGUCUCAAGAUUUUGGGAGCAAUUACAACAGGCUCUGGGAACCCAACUAGCCUUCAGUACCGCAUACCAUCCACAGACUGAUGGACAAACAGAACGCGUAAACCAAGUUUUAGAAGACAUGCUGAGAGCAUGUGUCCUCACCUAUGGAACCAGUUGGGAGGACAGCCUGCCAUAUGCCGAGUUCGCAUACAACAACAGUUACUAGGCCAUCCUGCAAAUGGCUCCUUUCGAAGCCCUAUACGGAAGGAGAUGUCGUACCCCGUUAAAUUGGUCAGAGACCGGAGACAGCCGCAUCUUCGGACCAGAUAUGCUCAGAGAAGCCGAGGAAAAAGUCAAGUUAAUCAGGGACCGACUUAAGACCGCUCAAAGUCGACAGAAAAGUUAUUAUGAUCAGAAACAUCGUAGGGUCAGCUUCGAACCCGGUGAAUUCGUAUACUUGAGAGUAUCCCUGAUGAGAGGAUUGCAACGGUUUAAGAUUAAAGGAAAAUUAGCACCAAGAUUCAUUGGACCAUUUUGCAUAGUGGCACGAAGAGGCACUGUAGCCUACCAGCUAGACUUACCCGAAGACUUGUCCGACAUUCACGACGUGUUCCACGUCUCUCAAUUAAGGAAGUGCGUAAGCAACCCAGAGAAACAAGUAUCUCAUGAGAACAUUGACGUACAGCCAGACCUCACUUAUCGAGAACGUCCCAUAAGAAUAUUAGAGGAGUCUGAAAGGAGGACCCGACAGAAAACCAUCAAGUUUUUCAAAGUCCAGUGGAGCAAUCACACCGACAGUGAAGCAACUUGGGAAAGCGAGGAUUUUCUUCGGACAGAGCAUCCACACUUAUUUAAGGAUCAGCUAAAAUCUCGGGGAUGAGAUUUUUCCUAAGGGGGUAGGUGUUGUGACACUCCAAAAUUUUUAUUUGGUUUUUAUCAAAAACUUUGUGGUUUUGAGGAGAGACUUUUUUUUUAUUUUUCUUUUUCAGAAAAACCUUCCUCUUAAAAACCUCCUUUUGCCUUGGCAGGGAUUUUAUUUCUUUCAAACUUUGGUGGUUGAUCUUUUGCAAACUUCUUCUCUGUUAGUUCCCUCUAAAAAUUUAAAUUUUUUUGGGAGCUUUUAAUUUGUUUUUUUUAAGUGAAGCUCUAUGAAAAUUUGGGUUUUUCUUAUCUUUGAAGCCACCCUUGGCUUUGUAUUUUUGCCCAUGAGAUAAAACCCCUCCAAAACCUCCCCUCCCCCUUGUGAUCAACCUAAAUUCUCUGUCCCAACUAAUCCAAACUGGUUUUGGAUUCUAUUCUAAUUAUUUUCCCCCCCAAUUCAAUUCUGAAAAUUAUUUGGAGCCUGAGGGAUUUUCAAAGCAAGUACACUUUUUCAUUUGAGUUUUGAACUCAAACCAAUUCUCCUGGAUUGUCCUUUGAACCCACAACCCAGAACCAUCUUGAUCCACUCCUCCUCUUUUCAAAUUUUUCAAAAUACAGUCUCUGCAAGUUUGGACCAGAUUUGCCAAAUUUGGUGAAAUUCAUAUCUACACUCCAAAAAUUCCACCAAAAUUCAGACAGCCUAUUUGAGCAAUGAGAAGCCACUCCACCAAAAAUCAGCUCAAGGAAAAAUCCCUACAUGCCUGGAUCAUUCUGUCGAACACCUUGCAUGCACUGUUUUCCUUGCACUUUCAGAAAUUUAGUUUUCAGUUUCGACAGUUUCAGUCACGCGGCCACAGUGCACUUGGCACGUUGCUCGCGGCCUCGCUUGCUUGUCCGAAGCUUCACACGCGCACUUGGCGCGACCCUGGCGUCGGUGGCGCCCUGGCCCGCCUGCGCCGGCGUGUCUUGCGGCGGCCGGCUCCCCGUAACGGCCGACAGGGAGGAGAAUGGCGGCGCAACGCCGUUCGGCACCGCCCAAAUCCUCUGGUGGCUCCGCGUGGCCUUCUCCGUGCCAGCGCACGCAUGCGGCAUCGUCGCCGUGGCGCAGCACGCACGGAGCGCGCUCUCUGCCGCCGACGGGCCCGCGCCACCCCGUUCCGUCGAGCUCGACCCAAACACCCAAACCCCGGCCAGUUUAGCACUAAAAUGGACCCAUUGAACCUCCGUGAUGACGCUCGACCCCCUAACCACCCCGACCGAGCACUGCGCCACCGUAAUCGCUCGCCGGUGAUCCUCGUUCACGGCAACCGCCUCGGACCGCCUAUAUAAAGGGGUCCCGAGCUCACUCUCGUGCACGCAGCACCCCCACUACUCACCAACACCCCGCCAGGCCACUAGGGGGACCUCGAGGAGGUCUCCUCCCCCAGCUCCGGCCGCCUCGCCCCGCCUCGGCCUCCAGCCCGAUUCGUUCUGGUGAGGCCAUCUCCGGCGCUCAAACCCCGUUCGUUACCCUCUCUAGCUGCCAGGAGCAUGACCCCCUCUUCAAUUGAACCUUUGCAGCCCUCUCCGACGAGCCCCUCAACCACCCGAGCCGCCGUCCGCCGGAGCAAAGCUCGCCGUCGACGUGGUGCUCACCGACCGACUCUACCACCAUCAACUGACGCGGAAGGGUGCCCUGAGCACGGAGGUACUCUCCGAUCUCUCUGCCUCGCCGUGGAUCGCCGCCGGCGACCACCGCGGCUCUCGGGCGCCGGCGAACUCUGCCGCCCCGUUUGAACAUUUGAACCUGACGGGUGGGACCCCACCGUCAGCCUCUCUGCUCUCUCUUUCGAAUCGUUUUCUGGAAGCGCCUUCGGGCAGAAUGCGUUUUCUCUUCGGGCUGGCGUAGUCGCUACCGAAGCGUUUUCUGUUUUUAUAAACUAGCCCCUGGAAAUCUUCUGUUUCAUUACAGAUAAGUCCCUGGACAAAAACCCUUAUAACUUUUAAUCAGAAAAGUAUUUUUGAUUGAUUCUUUUUCUGUUCUCUUUAAAAUUUUGUCUAAUUUUUUACCAGAUUUAUUUGAAAAAUAUUUGGUUUACCUUCUGUGCUCUCCUUGGUAUUUACUUUAGCGCAUAUAUUUUCUUUAAACCGUAGAUACCGAAGGAGGUGACGGAGCCGCGAACUUCACCGAGCUAGGCUCCGACUAUUUUGAACCAGGCAAGCAUGUUUGAACUUUUGAUAUGAUGAGUGUCUCGGCAUGUUUUGCAUUUAGUUAGUUUCAUGGCAUGUUGGUAAGCAUACCGAUGAACGAUAUUUUAUGUGAUAAUAAGGUGAGUAAGUUCAAUGAUCCAUACGUGGAUGAAUGUGAAUAUGAAUGGCCAUGUGUUGGCAUGAGGAUGGGUACGAUGGCAGUGUUGUAGCAUGCCAGUCUUACGCCAGACUAUGUGACUUCAGUGACAAACCAUAUCGGUCCAGUACCUAUCAUUUCCUUCCUUGUACUACCACAUGUUUUCCGCAAGGAAUAUGGUUUAGUAAGUUGCAAACCACUUUCAUGGUACACACCAAAGAGGAGAGGCCGUGAUGAUGGUUCCAUGGCCCUGGAUUAAAGCCAGUCAUCCGGUCAGGGGGCAUGGGUGUUUCCGGUUGGGACCGAGAGGGGGGCACCCCUUAGAGCGCGCGUAUAUAAAUUUGAUCCCAUGCUAUUCGAGAUUGUGAUCUCCCCGUCUCAAAAGUUUUUCUUGGACGAUGACUAGGGUGAUUCCUAGCAUCGAGAGGUAGGAUGGGUGUGUACCGGUUAGCUGUGUUUUCUUCCGAAAUACCAUAAACGGAACAAGUCCUUCGUGACUACGGAAAUCCGUUGACUGUGGGAAAAAUUUUGUACAAACUCUGCAGAGUCAUAUAUUCCUCCAAAUCAUCUCUUCCAUGUCAAGUUUCGUUCCAUCUUAUCCUAAUAAAUUGUCAGCUUUGAUGACAGAGACUCCGGUGGAUCGCAUGAGUGCUAAGUUCGAUUGAAUGAUUAUCCCUGUGGAUGGACUAACCCGUUUUUUCUCAUGGAUUGAAUGUUUAUUAUGAGUAUUGUUUACUGGUGAAUUUUAAAGCCCUUUCUGCGAUGUCGCUCAGACGUCCGACUGUGGCAUUUCAUUUAAAGCCCUUUCUGCGAUGUCGCUCAGACGUCCGACUGUGGCAUUUCUUUUAAAGCCCUUUCUGCGAUGUCGCUCAGACGUCCGACUGUGGCAUUUCUUUUAAAGCCCUUUCUGCGAUGUCGCUCAGACAUCCGACCGUGGCAUUUCUUUUAAAGCCCUUUAUGUGGUGUCGCUAAGAUGCCCGACUGUGGCAUCAUUCACCUUUCGAGGCGUCGCUUCAGACACCCGAUCGGUCUUUAUUUAUGCUCUGUGGGAUUUCAGGCGGACUACCGCCGUUUCCCUUUUUACUUACCCCGUUAUGCAAAUUUUUAUUUAUUGUGCAUUAAGGAAUUAAUCAUGUUGCAUCCAUGCACGCAUUUGUUAUAUCUUAUGUCCGAACUGUCUUGCGAGUACUUUCAAAGUACUCACUGGCUUGUUGAUUUGGCCAGAUGCUGACGAAGGCGAUCUCAUGGAUGAAGAGUUCGAUAGCGAGUCCGACACUUAGAGGAGUCCUAGUCAGUCUCGUGCGACCCUGGAUUUGGUCACUGUUUUAUAUCUGCUUCCGCUACCAAAUAAAUUUAUCGAGCCUCACCUCGAUGUUCGAUGAAAUGAUAUUCUUAGAGUCUUGUAUUUCCCUUCCCGCUGUGCUUUUCCACCACCAACCUAUCCAUGAGUCAGUAGUAUGUCUCCACACCACUGUGUCCUGUCCGCCAUUAUGUAUGAUUAUUGGCGUGCUUGUAAUAAUUUGGUUGAGCGACCGCUGUUCAACCCUGCAAUAUAUUUUACGCUACUGGCUUAUUGUAUCAAGAAAUUGUCUACCAGUGAGGAGGAUUUCUCUCAUACUGGACUCAAAAGACUGGUUUAUCAAUAAAUAUUUUUAUUGGAAAACCGGUCGUGACAAUAUAACACUUACUGCAAUGCAUAUAAACAUGCCAUGAACUAACUACUCAUUGCAAACAUGCAAAACACUCAUCAUAUCAAAGGUUCAAACAUGCUUGCCUGGUUCGAAGUAGUUGGAGUCUAGCUCGGUGAAGUUCGCGGUUCCGUCACCUCCUCCGGUAUCUACGGUAUAAAGAAAAUACGCACUAACGUAAAUACCGUGUGUGCACAAAACGUGUUCCAAAUAUUUUUCAAAUAAAUCAGAUAAAAAAACUAGACAGAAAAAUAAAGAUGACAGAAAAAGAAUCAAUCAAAAAUCAUUUUCAGUUUAGGAGUUAUUAAAGUUUUGGCCCAGGGACUUGUCUGUAAUGAAACAGAAAGUUUCCAGGGGCUAGCUUAUAAAAACAGAAAAUGAUUCGAUGAAAACCCGCCAACUCCAAAGGAAAAACGUAUCCUGCCCGAAGGCGUUUCCAGAAAACGGUUCGAAUAUAAAAGAGAGGCUGACGAGGGGGUCCCACUCGUCAAGUUUAAAAGUUCGAGAGAGAAAACAGAGUGCGUCGGUGCCCGAAGCUUGCGAUGGUCGCCGACGACGAUCCACGGUGAGUUAGGAGGAGCGGAGGGUACCUACGGACUCAGGGUGCUCUUCCGCGUCUGUGGGUGGCGGAGUUGGUCAUUGGAGAGCCCCACGUCGACGGCGGCCUUCACUCCAGCGGACGGCGACUCGGGCGUCGAUGGAUCUCGCCGGGAAGGGCUGCAAGUUUCAAAUUGGGGCGUGGGUUAGUGGAGUGGGUGCACUAGGAUGCCACUGGUACAACGUGAGAGGUGGGGGUGGACGCACUCGAGCUAACCUUGCCGGAGCCCGAAGCGGAUCGGGGCGGCCGGAGUCGGAGGAGAAGGCCCUUUACGUUGGCCUGUAGCUGAAGUAGUAUGCUGUAGGUAGACAUUCAUUGGGCUGGUCCAUUUACGUUGGCAUGCUUCGUGUGUGUCCAUUCUGUAUGCUUCUUUUUUAAUCCCAUGUAGGUUUAUUUACUCUUUUAGGUUCCUACUUUAGUGACCAUGGAUCUUUAGGUUUUUUCAAUUUAAUGGAAUUGGGUCCUACAUGAUUUUUUGCCUAUUUUAAUGUAUGUAUUUGCCUAACAUAGUUUACAAAAUCUUUAGUUAGAGGUAACCCAUCUUUGGUUACAUAUCUCACAAUCAGAUAAGAACAUUGUGCCAGAUCAGCUAACUUUCAGAUGUUGCCUGUAACCAAAGAUUGGUUACCUCUAGAUGGAUAGAUUCAUUUGAUUGGGUGACCUGAAUUUAUGAUGCCCUUUUUAUACUACAGAAGAUGCACCAGGCAUCUAUUUUUUGUCAUGAAAAAUGCAUAGGACCAUUUGCCUUGUAUUGUUACCCACUUUGGAAGAGUAACCUAUUGUUGUGUGUCGAGUGAUGGCGAUGAAUCAGCUAACUUCUGUAAAGUACAUACAAAGAUGUACUAUAUAUGUGCAAAGUAUCGAUUCAGUACACCGAACCCAAAUGCCAAGCAAGCACAAAGAUGUCAAAAGCAGUUAAAAUAAUCGUAAACAAUCUGGAAACAUAUAGCUUUGAAUAGACAUUUAUUAUUUUUUUGAAGAGUUCAGUCCAUGCAUGUUUUUUGCCAUCUAAUUUUAUGUUCUGGGCUUAAAUCAGAUAGAGGCUUUAAGAAUAUCCAGUUUAAAUAAUGACAGUCUUAAUUUGGAUAAAUAAAAUAACAAGAGCUUCAGACUAAUGUGGAAAAAUUGGUCAAAAUAUAAAAUUUUGGUUCCUCUCAGUUUAGUUGGUGGCCUAUAUGAAUUCCAUUUGGCCCACAAUAUUUUUGUACAGUUAUUGAUUUGCUAGGGUAAAUUCUAAACUUAAUUUUGUUAGCUUCUAUCAGGUGUUCUUUCUUAUAAUAUUUUUUAUAUGUCGCAAGCUUACUCUCUUGAUGAGAGUUACUCCAUGUUUAUGAAGAAAAGAUUUGGGUUCAGAGCACCUUCGGUCAUAAGAAUUUGUUUUCUAAUUCUUGCUGGUCAGUCACAAAGCAUUAAUUUUUGUUUGCUUUACAAUUUUUUCAGGAGCAAUGGGAAAUGAUGAGCUCCUGCUUCUUUUUAUGUCGGUUUAGGAGUGUAGGAAGCGGUUCCUCGCCGGUUGGACGUUGUUCAACCGCAACUCUGGCACCCACUGAGUACUUCCUCGGCUACAACCUCCUUCGGUGAGCUGUAUCUUCCUCCUUCUCCUCUGCUUCAGCUACUGUAUGGGACAUAGCCAGGGCUAUGAUGAUCGGUUAUGGCCGAUAUAAGCAUGCUCUCGAGCAAUCGAGGCAUGUGUGGGUAUUAAGUUGGAUCCCCCUUUGUUUCUUUGAGCCGUUUCGAUCAUGUUCUUAUUUUAGUGGCUCUGUCCUUGGAUGGUCAUUUCUGAUGAGUGAUAACCAGGGCAGUUUCACCCUUUUAAGAACAUAUCCAUCGUGAAAUAAGUCACUAAGCAUUAAUUUUUGUUUGCUUUACAAUUUUUCCAGAAGCAAUGGGAAAUGAUGAGCUCCUGCUUCUUUUUAUGUCGGUUUAGGAGUGUAGGAAGCGGUUCCUCGCCGGUUGGACGUCAUUCAACCGCAACUCUGGCACCCACUGAGAACUUCCUCGGCUACAACCUCCUUCGGUGAGCUGCAUCUUCCUCCUGCUCCUCUCCAUCGGCUACUGUAUGGGACAUAGCCAGGGCUAUGAUGAUCGGUUAUGGCUGAUAUAAGCAUGCUCUCGAGCAAUCAAGGCACGUGUGGGUAUUAAGUUGGAUCCCCCUUCGUUUCUUUGAGCCAUUUUGAUCAUGUUCUUAUUUUAGUGGCUCUGUCCUUGGAUGGUCAUUUCUGAUGAGUGAUAACCAGGGCAGUUUCACCCUUGUAAGAACAUAUCCAUCGAGAAAUAAGGGAGACGGUCACUCCCGGGCGCUCUCAGCGAUUCGGCAUUCCUGGCCGUUGGAUCUUUUGCUUGAUGUGAUUUCGGCCGUCAGAUCUCGCCUCAGGAUGACACAGCCGUCGGAUCGACCCGGUGUACCUGUAGCAAUGAAUAGUUAAUGCCUCCACACGCUGCCGCUUACUUCGCCUAUUCGACCUAGACUCGCUGACCUGUGGGGCUGCUCGCGGGUGGGCCGCGUCCGUCAACGACCAUGUGAGCGGGCAUGGCAUGUGCGUCCAGUCACGUGCCCCACCGGCCGGAGGCCAUUCUUGCUAGGGCAAUGAUGAUUAACCAUGGCUGAAAUAAAUGUGCCUUUGAGCAAUCGAGACACCUGUGGGUAUCAAGUUGGAUCCUCCCUCUUGUCUCUAGAAUCCUUUUUGAUCUUGUGAUACUUAUUGUUCUGUCCUUGGAUGGUCAUUCUUGUUGAGUGAUAACCAGGGCAGCUCCACACUAAAAACAGAUUGAUCCGGUGAUAAGAGAUGACGGGGGUGGGUCACAUGAUCGAGAAAAGGUGAAUCUGAGCCCAUCAUGCAUUGAACCCCGAAUCCUUUUUAUUUGUAGUUAAAGGUGUAGCUUAUUUGUGCCCCCAUCGGUCGGAAGCCAUUCUUGCUAGGGCGAUGAUGAUUAGCCGUGGCUGAAAUAAGUGUGCCUUUGAGCAAUCGAGGCACCUGUGGGUAUCAAGUUGGAUCCUCCCUCUUGUCUCUAGAAUCCUUUUUGAUCCUGUGAUACUUAUUGUUCUGUCCUUGGAUGGUCGUUCUUGUUGAAUGAUAACCAGGGCAGCUCCACUGGAUAAACAGAUUGAUCUGGUGAAAGAGAUGAUGGGGGUAGAUUAUAUGAUCGAGGAAAGGCGAAUCUGGGCCCACUAUGCAUUGAACCCUGAACCCUUUUUAUUUGUAUUUAGAGGUGUUGCUUAUUUAUGCUCCAGUGUUUAUAGCCGUCUUAUGUAAAGAAAUCUCCCUUGUAUUUCCUCUUAUGGACGGCCCCCUCGCUAGCUCCUUGAUGUUUGUCCUACCCCAGUAAGAUCUAUGACAUGUUCAUGGCGUUGAUGUGGAGAAGCUCAACGACAAUGGAAUAUCCCUCUCCAUUUUGACAUCAGACAAGGUGGUAUUAAUCUUUUAUGUGUAAGUAUCUACUGCACAUACUGUCUUUCCUAGGCGUUCUUCUUUUCCAUCUGUACUACCUCACCUACUGUCAAAUGUUUGUGCUGGGUUGCUGACUUUUUUGCUGUGGAGUUUGCUUAUUUUGGGUUCUUCAUUGUGUUGGUAGGAUGUUUGCCGUGAGUUGUUCCUUUGGCACUAUCUGUAGGAAGCAGAGCCAAGCGAGGUUCUUAUAUCUGAGCAUAUUAAUCUCAUGCAUUAGUUUGUAAGCUAUGGGGUUGCAGGCUUAAACUCAAAAUUGUCUUGCAAUGUAUUAGAUUGUACCCUGGAACCUAGGCACAACCAUCUAUAUACAUUGUUCUAUCUUGUAGAUUGGGAUCCCCGUCAGUUGCUUCCCCUUUUUUGUUUCCAGUUAUGUCAUCUUUGCAAAUUUAUGUUGUGCAUGUACACACGUUUUUUGGACAACUGCAUGAGAGAAAGCUUACAAGUAGAUGAGUUACAGAUCUUCCAUGAAUCCUAUUGUCCUUGCAGACCUACAACAACAAACUUUCGAUUACGUAUAUGCUUAUUGUUUGUUCAGUUGGCAUACUUCAGAUUGCAUUGGUUAGGUUAUAGUCCAUGUGUGUAGGUCUGGAUAGCAUAGGCUUCUGUUGAGAGCACUUUGAUCAGGUGGCACUGCACACCUCAAAUCACCACAAGUUUGUUCUUCACCUAUACAGUACAGUCACAGUCACCCGCCCAGAACUUGAAAUUGGAACCAGAGAGCAGUAAUUUCUUAGGGAGCUAGCUCAAUGUUGUAUAAAAGGAGAUUUAUGAGAUUUUAGUCUUGAAAAUUUUAUGGUAUUUUGUCUUCCAGGUUCCUCUAUAUCUGCUGCAAGGCUUGGAUUACCAUAUAAGGCCGAAUUCAGCACAUAAGAAAGCAGAACAAAUCAUUGAUAGUGUCACGGUUUGAUCCAGCUCGAUGGCGAGCUCCUCUGCCCUCCCUAAGCCCGGUGAUGAUUUGUACGGUCAGUCUUCCCUGCACGGUGGUGGGCGAAGGAGGUGUACGUCUCUGCAAGUUUGUUGUGCCUCCCUCAGGUUCCGUGAUGGCCGACGGCGAGGUGCCCACCGGUGAGCUUUUUUUCCUUGGUUGCCUUUCUAUUAUUGUGAUUCGGUUUGUGAUGCUCUGCUGCUCAUCUAGGUUGAUGGUGGAGCUGCGAUCCAAAGUUGGAGCGUGCCCUUUCGUUGGUGCCGUCAUUCUCUCCUCCACGACCGUCGUUGUUACGAGCCUAAGUAGCUUGGUUGGGUAUCGACGGCGUUGGUGGACCUAAUAGGUCCGUCUCUUUCUCUAAAAAGAAAAGCACAACGAGUUAUCUAUAUUUUGUCUGUAUGUGGUUCUAUACUUUUUUCUGCUAAUUUCUAAGUGAUUUUUAACCCAUUGUGAUACUAAAAACCUGAUAAAGAAUAUAUUUUAUGACUGAAUGUUUGAUGUGGGGCUGGAAGAAUUAUAGUUUUGUUUUGUACAUAAAUCUUCUAUGUAGUCAUGGUACUAAAUGUCCUAACAUAUACCCGUAUGUUCUGUUUAUCUCCUACAAAUAGUGAAAUGGUCUAUAUGUAAAGUGUUUAUGUUUAGUUAUAUUAUGUUGUCGACGAUGCGUGGUUCUGGAACAUGGAGAUUAACAUUGAAGCUUUUGGUAUCUUGAAUUCUUAUGCUUUGUUAUUAACUUGAUGUGAUCCAGUUUUUUCUACUUGGCAUUGCCACUGACUUGCUUUCAGUGUCGUAUAACUAAACUCUUUUGGCUGAACUGGACGCAGAUUAAUUGUCCUGCCUUGCUUUUGGAACAAAUUAAAUGUAUCUUCUUUUUCAUGAGCCUGCAGAUCAAUUAUUCUAUAGAUACUAAUACACUCAUUAGUUUCAAACAAGUACUGUAAUUUCUGAUGUACCAAAUGAUUUACGGUAUAGUGAAAUCUUACACGCUGGACCAAUUCAAUGUUUCUUCUUUCUCUUAAACCAGAAAAAAUUGUUGUCUUGUUGAAUACGUAUGCUAAACCAUGUUUCCUACUAACGCAUCAUAUCUUUUGAUCAUUACCUUCUUGACCACAUCGUUGGGACAUGCACAGGUUCAUGUGAAGUGGUGCCUAUGAAGAUCAUCGACAAGGCAGUUGAGUGGAGUCACUUAUUAGUAUGAAGUGGCGCUUAUGAAGUUGAUCGACAAGGCAGUUGAGUGAAGCCACUUAUUAGUAUGCUUAGUAG
RNAcentral lists this long non-coding RNA (33534 nucleotides) under Triticum aestivum (bread wheat). Its description in RNAcentral is "long non-coding RNA (TAES_LNC003659)". The record is from RNAcentral. Lineage: Eukaryota; Viridiplantae; Streptophyta; Magnoliopsida; Poales; Poaceae.